RNAcentral lists this ribosomal RNA (1159 nucleotides) under Acinetobacter baumannii. Its description in RNAcentral is "partial 23S ribosomal RNA". It matches the Rfam family "Bacterial large subunit ribosomal RNA", at positions 1 to 1211 of the family's 2925-position model. The record is from RNAcentral. Lineage: Bacteria; Pseudomonadati; Pseudomonadota; Gammaproteobacteria; Moraxellales; Moraxellaceae.
GUCAAGUAAUUAAGUGCAUGUGGUGGAUGCCUUGGCAGUCAGAGGCGAUGAAAGACGUGAUAGCCUGCGAAAAGCUCCGGGGAGGCGGCAAAUAUCCUUUGAUCCGGAGAUGUCUGAAUGGGGGAACCCACCUACUUUAAGGUAGGUAUUGCAACAUGAAUACAUAGUGUUGCAAGGCGAACGAGGGGAAGUGAAACAUCUCAGUACCCUUAGGAAAAGAAAUCAAUUGAGAUUCCCUCAGUAGCGGCGAGCGAACGGGGAUCAGCCCAUUAAGUUAUGUGUGUUUUAGUGGAACGCUCUGGGAAGUGCGAACGUAGAGGGUGAUAUUCCCGUACACGAAAGGGCACACAUAAUGAUGACGAGUAGGGCGAGGCACGUGAAACCUUGUCUGAAUAUGGGGGGACCAUCCUCCAAGGCUAAAUACUCCUGACUGACCGAUAGUGAACCAGUACCGUGAGGGAAAGGCGAAAAGAACCCCUGUGAGGGGAGUGAAAUAGAUCCUGAAACCGCAUGCAUACAAGCAGUGGGAGCACCUUCGUGGUGUGACUGCGUACCUUUUGUAUAAUGGGUCAGCGACUUAUAUUCAGUAGCGAGGUUAACCGUAUAGGGGAGCCGUAGAGAAAUCGAGUCUUAAUAGGGCGUUUAGUUGCUGGGUAUAGACCCGAAACCAGGCGAUCUAUCCAUGAGCAGGUUGAAGGUUGGGUAACACUAACUGGAGGACCGAACCCACUGUCGUUGAAAAGCCAGGGGAUGACUUGUGGAUAGGGGUGAAAGGCUAAUCAAGCCUGGUGAUAGCUGGUUCUCCCCGAAAGCUAUUUAGGUAGCGCCUCGGACGAAUACCAUAGGGGGUAGAGCACUGUUUCGGCUAGGGGGUCAUCCCGACUUACCAAACCGAUGCAAACUCCGAAUACCUAUGAGUACUAUCCGGGAGACAGACUGCGGGUGCUAACGUCCGUAGUCAAGAGGAAAACAAUCCAGACCGCCAGCUAAGGCCCCAAAAUCAUAGUUAAGUGGGAAACGAUGUGGGAAGGCAUAGACAGCUAGGAGGUUGGCUUAGAAGCAGCCACCCUUUAAAGAAAGCGUAAUAGCUCACUAGUCGAGUCGGCCUGCGCGGAAGAUGUAACGGGGCUAAAACUAUGUGCCGAAGCUGCGGAUGUAU